Molecule: unclassified non-coding RNA, 205 nt
Filed under: Hevea brasiliensis (rubber tree)
Lineage: Eukaryota; Viridiplantae; Streptophyta; Magnoliopsida; Malpighiales; Euphorbiaceae
Source: RNAcentral
GGAGAAUAGAAAAUUACCUACUUCCUAGUAUUUGACAUAUUAUAUAGAAUUAAAAAACUCAAGAAGCAAGUAAACAAAAAACAUAAAGAUUAAAAUUAGAGAAUGAAUUAUUAUAAUACUAUAAUAGGCAACCCUUCAUUUUAAGUGGAAAAAUUGUACAUAAAUUUAACAAAAAAAUUAGCAGGAAAACAAUCCAGCAUAUAGC